CGGUUACGAUCGGUUGACAGGUGGUGCAUGGUUGUCGUCAGCUCGUGUCGUGAGAUGUUGGUUAAGUCCGCAACGAGCGCAACCCCUAUUGUUAGUUGCCAUCAUUCAGUUGGGCACUCUAGCGAGACUGCCGGUAAUAAACCGGAGGAAGGUGGGGAUGACGUCAAAUCAUCAUGCCCCUUAUGACCUGGGCUACACACGUGCUACAAUGGUUGGUACAACGAGUUGCGAGUCGGUGACGGCGAGCUAAUCUCUUAAAGCCAAUCUCAGUUCGGAUUGUAGGCUGCAACUCGCCUACAUGAAGUCGGAAUCGCUAGUAAUCGCGGAUCAGCACGCCGCGGUGAAUACGUUCCCGGGCCUU
RNAcentral lists this ribosomal RNA (361 nucleotides) under uncultured Streptococcus sp. RNAcentral describes it as "bacterial SSU rRNA". It matches the Rfam family "Bacterial small subunit ribosomal RNA", at positions 1017 to 1382 of the family's 1533-position model. The record is from RNAcentral. Lineage: Bacteria; Bacillati; Bacillota; Bacilli; Lactobacillales; Streptococcaceae.